RNAcentral lists this ribosomal RNA (253 nucleotides) under uncultured bacterium. RNAcentral's name for it is "partial 16S ribosomal RNA". It matches the Rfam family "Bacterial small subunit ribosomal RNA", at positions 524 to 776 of the family's 1533-position model. The record is from RNAcentral.
UACGGAGGGUGCAAGCGUUAUCCGGAUUUACUGGGUUUAAAGGGUGCGUAGGUGGGUCUGUAAGUCAGUGGUGAAAUCUCCGAGCUUAACUCGGAAACUGCCAUUGAUACUAUAGGUCUUGAAUUAUCUGGAGGUGAGCGGAAUAUGUCAUGUAGCGGUGAAAUGCUUAGAUAUGACAUAGAACACCAAUUGCGAAGGCAGCUCACUACGGAUAUAUUGACACUGAGGCACGAAAGCGUGGGGAGCAAACAGG